CCUACGGGGGGCUGCAGUGAGGAAUAUUGGUCAAUGGUCGGGAGACUGAACCAGCCAAGCCGCGUGAGGGAGGAAGGUACAGAGUAUCGUAAACCUCUUUUGUCAGGGAACAAAGACUGGGACGCGUCCCCGGAUGAGUGUACCUGAAGACAAAGCAUCGGCUAACUCCGUGCCAGCAGCCGGGGUAUUACGGGGGAUGCGAGCGUUAUCCGGAUUUAUUGGGUUUAAGGGGUGGGAGGGCGGUCUGUUAAGUCCGCGGUCAAAGCCCGGGGCUCACCCCCGGCCCGCCGUUGAAACUGGCAGUCGCGAGUUGGAGAGAAGUAUGCGGAAUGCGCGGUGUAGCGGUGAAAUGCGUAGAUAGCGCGCAGAACUCCGAUUGCGAAGGCAGCAUGCCGGCUCCACACUGACGCUGAGGCACGAAAGCGUGGGUAUCGAACAGGAUUAGAUACCCGGGUAGUC
RNAcentral lists this ribosomal RNA (459 nucleotides) under uncultured bacterium. Its description in RNAcentral is "partial 16S ribosomal RNA". It matches the Rfam family "Bacterial small subunit ribosomal RNA", at positions 338 to 795 of the family's 1533-position model. The record is from RNAcentral.